RNAcentral lists this long non-coding RNA (294 nucleotides) under Elaeis guineensis (African oil palm). RNAcentral describes it as "long non-coding RNA (EGUI_LNC037947)". The record is from RNAcentral. Lineage: Eukaryota; Viridiplantae; Streptophyta; Magnoliopsida; Arecales; Arecaceae.
UUCAAAUCAGCCAGAUGCUGGUCAGAUUCAAUCAUCUCCGUAUUGGCCAUAUACUGACUAGAUCCGUGCCAACCAUUUUUAAUUCAGUUGAUCACCUCAUGAUCCAAACAAGGAAGGAGAUCCCAAUCAGAAAGGAUAUUACAGGAAUCCCUCGAUUCACAAAUCAUUCUUGCUCCUCCAUCCAUGAUUUGAAAUUUAAAUUCUUGACAAAAUCUAAAUAAGGAAGGGGAUUAUGUGGAUUAUUUUUCUCCACUAUCUAUAUUCAAAAUUUAAUUUGAAUUCUUAGCACAAUCC